Molecule: non-coding RNA, 198 nt
Organism: Vicia faba (fava bean)
Lineage: Eukaryota; Viridiplantae; Streptophyta; Magnoliopsida; Fabales; Fabaceae
Source: the annotation of a GenBank genome assembly
AUGCUGUUUAUGUUGUUUUUUAUGAUUAAAAAGAAGUACAAGACAUUGCCAAAAAUUAGGAAUGGAAAGUUACAAAUGGAAUUACAAGUUCUUGAAUUGUUAACCAUUGAUCAGAAUUCGACCGUUAGCUCAAAGUUUCGACAACCUAUUCCACUUCAGCUCCAAUCUGAUCUUUAUCACUGCCUCAUGUCGUGUUAA